This 85-nucleotide transfer RNA is filed under the name Phycisphaerae bacterium. RNAcentral describes it as "tRNA-Ser". It matches the Rfam family "tRNA". Rfam says of the family: Transfer RNA (tRNA) molecules are approximately 80 nucleotides in length. Their secondary structure includes four short double-helical elements and three loops (D, anti-codon, and T loops). RNAcentral also lists the same sequence under 2 other names. Lineage: Bacteria; Pseudomonadati; Planctomycetota; Phycisphaerae. The record is from RNAcentral.
GGUAGGGUGUCCGAGCGGUUUAAGGAGCUGGUCUUGAAAACCAGUGUGCCGAAAGGCACCGUGGGUUCGAAUCCCACCCCUACCG